Long non-coding RNA from Cygnus olor (mute swan), 5416 nucleotides. RefSeq lists it as uncharacterized. The record is from RefSeq and is a predicted model, not a curated record. The transcript is spliced from 2 exons. Lineage: Eukaryota; Metazoa; Chordata; Aves; Anseriformes; Anatidae.
GUGCCCAAGGCAUUAAAGGAAAAAGAAAAAAAAGCUGGUGGCAUCCUGGGGUGCCCAGGUGUGGUGGCCGGGCUGGCUCGGGGUGACACGGCGGUGACAGCGGGAUCCAGCAGCAGCCCCAGAAGGGAGGGAGCUGAGGAAGGAGCCUUGUUUUACGUUUCAGUGCAAGGAUUUAGGAAUCUGGGUGAGAAUUAGGUAAUGUUUGCGGGAGGGAGUAGGACACAACUGGAACUAAUCGCAACUGUGCGAGCGAGCCGGAGGGAGACGUCCUACUUCUCCGUCGUUCCCGAGAGACUUCCACUGGCAAGAUGAAGUCAUAGCCCUUACUUCACGAGCAGGAACUCAGCGUGCUGACAAAUGAGCCCUCUCGAUUCGUGCCGGACCAGCCGAAGAGGACGUUGCCCCCUUGCAGAGACGGGUGGGCAGGCAGGUACGAGCAGCCGCCUUGUAGGCGCCUGAGCGCGAGCUGCCAGAGCUGCUCCAUCACCGCCCGAGCCCGUGCCCCGCGCGGGGAGCGGUAAUUGCACCCAGCGGUGUGAGCCCCGCUUCCAGAGCAAACAAACGGGUUUAGGAUCUCCCCCUCGCCGCACUGCUAGGGGAGUCCCUUUUGGAAAAAGUGUGAAAUUUAUGGUAAUACGUGCUGAGGAUCUCGUGGCGGAUCUGGGCUGCUAAAUCCUCUAAACCUGAGCCCACAGCUUCAUUGACAGGGCCUCUCACUUUGCUCUGCUCCAAGCUUAUGGUUUCAGUGCUCCAAUAUUUUUCCAUACAUGGAAGCGUUCGUGCCCCAGCCCGGGCUAAUCCUGACAUGCCACUGCAUCUGGAUGUUAGCUCAUUUCUUGCAGCUGACACUGUACACAGGCAGAUGUCUGAACCUACUUUUGUUUAAACGGAUUUAUGUCAACAAGCAAAAGUCUCACCCCAUAGGUAAGCAGGGGAAAAAAAAAAAAAGUGUGGUUUUCCAUUUUACCUGCCUUCCAGGGCUGUUAGGUGGCUGGACAGGUCCCUGGUGAUGCUGUGCUGGGGAAAUGUCUGGUAUUUAAAUGACAAAGGGGCACAAGUUUAACCGGACCAGCCUUCGCUCCAGCACAAGCCCCCAUCUCGCUGCUGCGGCUCUGCCUUCCUCUCCCCUGCACUCUGGUCGCUUUUCUGUGCCCUUCCUGGGUCUGGGUGCUGUCCCCCUCUGGUCCCUAUCUCCCCUCCUGCCCCCAGAGACCCCCGCUCCGUCCUGCCAAAGGCUGCGUGCUGCUCGGGCCAUAUUCACCAGCUCUGCGGGGUCCCACUCGCGGUUGAGCGGGGUGUCACGGCAGUGCAGAAGAAAGAGCUGCUUGUGCCGCUGAGCUGCCGUGUGAGCUGGAGGCUGUUCCCGUGGCUCCCUGGCAGGGCCGGGCCGUAAGCUUUAAUUAAAUGGUUGUAAGGUGCUCCGAGAUCCUCCGCUGAAAGGCCCUGCGUAAGGGCGAAGUCUCCAAAGAAAGGCUGGAGACCUUUCGCACCCGUUGGGAAGGAUGGGGAGCCGAAACGGCAAGAUCCAAACGGGUGAGUCUGAAGUGACGUUGGCUCUCCCCUGCCCUCUGUGAUGGUUCAGAAGGACUAGUGUGACCCUUCCCAAAAAAGAGGGGAAUCGUGGUUUUAGUAGGGCUGCCAGUGAUUUCAGUUCCAUCCCCUCCUGCCCGCUGCUAGUCAAGAUGGCGUGCUAGGCUGGAGGUGUGCGUGGGGCGUUUUGUGUGUGGGUUGUGCUGUUUUAUUUGGAGCUAGGCAUCCGCUCGUGGCCUCUCGUCGAGGGGAUGUGGGCGCUGGGCGAUCCUGCUGGCCCCUGUGCCCUCGUGCCCGCCUGAGCACUGAAUUAUUUGGUGGUUUGCACGUGGCUUUCCCGCAGCCCUUAUUUCAGCCUCCACCAGCUGGACGGCUCCGGUGAUCAGGUGAGACGGCAGAUCCCCGGCGCUUUAGGAGUCUUCUUGAUGUCGGAGUUUUUUUUUUCUUCAAGUUUUUCUGGAUGCCGCUCUGGUGCUUUUAGGGCGGGUUGAAGGGCACCAGGUUACAAAUCCUGCCGUACAAGUACUGCCUGGGCGCUCAGCAUCCAGGAAUGCGCUGCUUUAUCAACUGAUAGCUACUGUUUAACAGGGCGAGGAGUUACGCUGAUUGCAUCCUAAGCUGAUGACUCCCCACGUUUAUUUUGCAGGCUGCUCCCUCUCUAAUUCUGCUUCGCGGCAGUAGCACAGAGACAGCAUUGCUGCUCCAUUACCAGCUGCUCAUAACCACCUCUUCCCCGUCAUCUCCGUGCUCGGGGAGCUUUGCAAAUCGUGCUAGGGAAGUGCUGAUGGCGUUGCCUUGGCCUGGCAGGUAGGAAGGAGAGGGGCUUGGUGCUGGGGGGGCUGCCCGGGGAGCCUGCGGUGGCUGCUCCGGGUGCAGGCUGCCAGCAGCACGGGCGAUCGCUGGCGUGGAGCAGCGUCGUGCCUCCGCUGUGCACGAAGGAAAAGCCCCAUCUUAAACAAAUGCGACGCUGCUCGUCUGACAGGUAUGGCCAGAGCACCGUCCUGAGAGUUUGUUUUCCACGCUUUUAUUUGGAGCUCAAAUUAAGCUGCCGUGCCUGUUGUCUGGAGGGAAGGGAAGCAGAGCAGCAGCCUCCUCGCCCCUGCCGGGUGCCGGCGGCUUUUCCAGCCCCGCCGUGACUUCCCAGCCCCGUGCGCCGUGAGCCCAGCCUGCCCCCCGCCGCUGCGCUGCACGCUCCCAAAAUCGCUUCGUUCCAGGGUUAGAAAAGACCCGGUUUUGUGUCCUCAGAGCUGGAUUUCACAGACACGUAACGGGAAAGGUCUUAAUGCCUUGAGCUUGAUCUGCUAAUCUGAAAGCAUGGGAAGUUUUUCAUAGGAAGAUUUGCUGCCUGGCUUUCACGGUGCGAGUGUGCACAAAUAGGUUUUAUUCCUGCGAUGGGGCAGAGCUGCUGGGUGCCUGCCACCAAGGUUACUGACAUUUAGGUCUCUGGUUUUGGUGGAGAUGCACAGAAAUACAUUUAAUGAGUAGGGGGUUCCAGAGAGUGGUACGGGUGGCUGGAAAUUGAGGGCAGGGACUACUUAAGCGCUAACGUAUGGCGUAGCUUUGAUUCCUUUUUAUUUUUUUUAAAGGAAUGGAAAAAGCUAAGGGCUGCUGAUGAGCAGUUUUUCCUCCCCUCAUGACACGCUUGUCCUUAGAGCCUUGUCGGCCACCUCCGUUGCAGUGCUUUCUUGACAGUCGCUCUCACGCCUCCUGGCCGUAAGUUCAAUGAUUUUGUGUGACGGGAGCACCCAGGGCCCCGUUUGGCACGAGGUGUUUAUGGCUUGAGCUGUGCGCGCAGCGGCGUCUGCUGCCCCAGUCGCUCCCAGGAUGGGUUUUAUGCCUAGAGAGGCAGUUUUCGAGCCAGUUAAUUGCCAGGUUGUAAAACAGAAGGGGACGUGGGUGUCCCUGCCUUUCCCUGCGGACAAAUCCCUGCCGGUGUCUCUCGGGGUGGAAGCGUGGUGACAGGAGGAGCCUCGUCCCCAGGGGCAAGGUGAGCAGAGGGACGGGGACAGGACAGGACCAGCAGCAGCGCUGCCUUGGCUGGGAAGGCGCCGCGCUCCAGGCAGCUUGACUUUGAAUUGCAGAAGUGAUCCAGAUUUUAGUCUGUUGAAGAAUAAAAUGCCCCGUGAGCCGUGCCUUUUGGCUCGGGCUGCCUGACCGGCCGCCCUGCUCUGGGCCCCGUCCAGCGUCCUCUUUUUGAUGUUGGUCUCCGUGAGGAUUUACUGCAGGCUUCACAGCUGAAAAAGCGGCGCGGCUGGUGUGAAAGCCUUGCUAGGAUAAAACUUGAUAGGAUGAGAGGCCACCGAACGCCACCUCUGUCUGUGGCCAUCCCUCUAAUUACUGAAUUAACACCCCUGGGCGCAGCUUGCGGGCCCACCUGGGGCUCGGGGCUGUUGUGCUGGGCCAUGUAUGCACAAACACACAAGGAGAGGCAGCCCUUGGGGUAAAGCUGCUUAUUUUUGGGGGUGUCGGUGCUGUGCAGGCGGGGAGCAGCCCAGCUGGGGCUCCGUGGGACCCCCUGCAACAUGUGGCACAACAUCCUCCCCCUUUACUGCUGUUGGGAAGUGACACAGCAAACAAAGCAACUCCUGAUGGCCAUCGUGGGUUAUCCAGAGCCAAUCCUUCCCCCAGCCGCACGCCUCCAGGACAGACGGACGCCGGGUGACACGGAGCAAGGCAGGAGAGCCCAGCGUGACGCAGUCGAACUGCUGCUUGGUGGCACAGGUGGAGGUUAGGACAUUCAGGGUUUCUUUCAGCGUUGUAGUGAAGAAUCUGAAAACGUGAUUCAUCCCUCAAUCCGCGUCUCAGGCAUGCGGUGGUGAAGUUAGGAAAAAUCUGGGUAUGUAUAAAGCGUUUCCUCCUGGGGGCUGGGAAACCCUUAGGUGCAGCAUUUGUUAUUUUACUUAAUUGAGUUUGAAAUCCUCAAUGCUCAGAACAUGCCCGCUCAUGUCUGUUGCAGGAAAAACUCAAUUGCUCAAUAGGAAUGGCUUUUCAUCCUGCCGCACUAAGGAGAAACUAAGGUCAAAUCUAUUGAAAAGAAGAAUUACCGAUUUAUUUAUUUAUUUAUUUUGUCAUCUGCUCAGAACCAGGGAAAUGGCUUAGCAGGUACAGCUCGUGGUGAGGAAGGUCGUGUGUGUGAGGCAGCUCCUGAGAAGGAAGGCGAUUCUGUGCUGAUGCUCAGCCCUCUGGGUUUGCUGGCCAUGGGAAGAAACCAGCUUUAUGCAAAAGCACAAGCCCAGGCUGAAGAGGUAGCACGAUGUGAAUCAUUGCUCCUGGUGGUGCGCGCUCACAGCCGUGGCUGCCCGUGCCCCUGCUCCUGGAGCGACGCUGACGACUCGUGCUCUGUGAACAAGAAGAUGAAGAAAAUGACACUCCUGGAACUGAGCGAAUGAGACACUGCCGGGGAGGUGGCAGAGGACGGCCUCUGCCUCGCCCGAGCUUGGGCAGCCGCAUCUCUUGUGCUUUUGUUCUGUUUUCCUCUCUCAUUACUCAGAGCGUUUGCUUCGUCCGGAGCUUCAAGCUAUACAAACCAGGGGUGUCGAGCAGGGCGAAGACGCAACGGUGCGUAAUUCUCAUCGAGGUCAUGCCAUGCUAUGCAAAGCUGCCAGGCAGCUCCUGAUUUCAAAGUUGGGAACUGCCGUUUACGUGCAUUUUUUCGGUGCCUCGUUGUUACCGGUGGAAGCACGUACUGACAGAGAAACGGGUAUUAACGUGACCAGUGCCGGCUGCAGCACAGACCCCGUUGUUCAGCUAACACAUCCUGCACUCACAGCUCUCGUGUGAAUGAAUGAUCACGCUCCAGCCUUCCCUGUUAAGAGCUAUUGAAGAGCACAGCAGGUUUUUUCACCUUGCUGAACCGAAUGUUACUAAGAAAAUAAAUUUAAUCAAG